This 312-nucleotide ribosomal RNA is filed under the name uncultured eukaryote. RNAcentral's name for it is "partial 18S ribosomal RNA". It matches the Rfam family "Eukaryotic small subunit ribosomal RNA", at positions 1470 to 1796 of the family's 1831-position model. The record is from RNAcentral.
CCCUUAGAUGUCCUGGGCCGCACGCGCGCUACACUGACAUGUUCAACAAGCCUCCUAGUUCGACAGGAUUUGGGAAAUCUUUGAACGCAUGUCGUGAUAGGGAUAGAUCAUUGCAAUUAUUGAUCUUGAACGAGGAAUUCCUAGUAAACGCGAGUCAUCAGCUCGCAUUGAUUACGUCCCUGCCCUUUGUACACACCGCCCGUCGCACCUACCGAUUGAAUGGUCCGGUGAAGCCUCCGGAUUGGCGCGCACCUCGGUGCCGCCGAGAAGUUGGCUAAACCUUACCAUUUAGAGGAAGGUGAAGUCGUAACA